This 354-nucleotide ribosomal RNA is filed under the name Diolcogaster sp. HD-154. RNAcentral describes it as "partial 28S ribosomal RNA". Lineage: Eukaryota; Metazoa; Arthropoda; Insecta; Hymenoptera; Braconidae. The record is from RNAcentral.
GGAAGGAAGAGAUUCAUCGUCAGCGUAUUCAGUAUUAAUCCGGGUUAUGAUGUGAUGAUAGAACCCUUGUGGUCACUAGAUUAUACUUGCUUGUAUUAUUUUUGCGGGGUAGGUCGGCGUGCACUUUUUUUUUAGUAGAACGUCGCAACCCGUGGGAUGUUUAUUUAUGGCCUAAAUGGUAGCCUCUGAUAUUUUAAAAUAUCGAAGACCUUUGGUGUCCUGAUAAGCUGUCUGACGGUAAACAUAUAGUAUUGAGCCGCAAUUAUUUGCGUUAGACUUACCGCAAGUAAGAUUUUAGUCUAGUAGUGCAGAUCUAAUGCUGUCGCUGGGCAAAGUCUACUGUUAGCUGUGUAA